RNAcentral lists this unclassified non-coding RNA (206 nucleotides) under plant metagenome. RNAcentral describes it as "partial contains small subunit ribosomal RNA and internal transcribed spacer 1". The record is from RNAcentral.
AAGUCAUUAAAUCAAAGGUUUUACUGGUGAGGGUGAAUCCUGCAGAAGGAUCCAUUGAUUGAAUUGUUGAAAAUGGGGAGGAGUUUCGACUCUCCUCUACAUUCUUUAUUCCUAACACCUGUGAAUCGUUGCUGAGUUUGCUCAGUGGCAACAUUUUUUAUACACACAUAAUAGUUUAGAACGUAAAAAUAUAUAAUAAAAUACAA